AACGAACGCUGGCGGCAUGCCUAACACAUGCAAGUCGAACGAUUGCCUUCGGGUGAUAGUGGCGCACGGGUGCGUAACGCGUGGGAAUCUGCCCUUAGGUUCGGAAUAACAGCUGGAAACGGCUGCUAAUACCGGAUGAUAUCGCGAGAUCAAAGAUUUAUCGCCUGAGGAUGAGCCCGCGUUGGAUUAGGUAGUUGGUGGGGUAAAGGCCUACCAAGCCGACGAUCCAUAGCUGGUCUGAGAGGAUGAUCAGCCACACUGGGAGUGAGACACGGCCCAGACUCCUACGGGAGGCAGCAGUGGGGAAUAUUAGACAAUGGGCGCAAGCCUGAUCCAGCAAUGCCGCGUGAGUGAUGAAGGCCCUAGGGUUGUAAAGCUCUUUUACCCGGGAAGAUAAUGACUGUACCGGGAGAAUAAGCCCCGGCUAACUCCGUG
RNAcentral lists this ribosomal RNA (435 nucleotides) under uncultured bacterium. Its description in RNAcentral is "partial 16S ribosomal RNA". It matches the Rfam family "Bacterial small subunit ribosomal RNA", at positions 29 to 507 of the family's 1533-position model. The record is from RNAcentral.